UACGGAGGAUGCGAGCGUUAUCCGGAUUUAUUGGGUUUAAAGGGUGCGUAGGCGGAAGAUUAAGUCAGCGGUGAAAGUUUGAGGCUCAACCUUAAAAUUGCCGUUGAAACUGGUUUUCUUGAGUGUAGAUGAAGUAGGCGGAAUUCGUAGUGUAGCGGUGAAAUGCAUAGAUAUUACGAAGAACUCCGAUUGCGCAGGCAGCUUACUAAGGUACAACUGACGCUGAGGCACGAAAGCGUGGGUAUCAAACAGG
RNAcentral lists this ribosomal RNA (253 nucleotides) under uncultured Dysgonomonas sp. RNAcentral describes it as "partial 16S ribosomal RNA". It matches the Rfam family "Bacterial small subunit ribosomal RNA", at positions 524 to 776 of the family's 1533-position model. The record is from RNAcentral. Lineage: Bacteria; Pseudomonadati; Bacteroidota; Bacteroidia; Bacteroidales; Dysgonomonadaceae.